GACGAACGCUGGCGGCGUGCUUAACACAUGCAAGUCGAACGGAAAGGCCCUGCUUUUGUGGGGUGCUCGAGUGGCGAACGGGUGAGUAACACGUGAGUAACCUGCCCUUGACUUUGGGAUAACUUCAGGAAACUGGGGCUAAUACCGGAUAGGAGCUCCUGCUGCAUGGUGGGGGUUGGAAAGUUUCGGCGGUUGGGGAUGGACUCGCGGCUUAUCAGCUUGUUGGUGGGGUAGUGGCUUACCAAGGCUUUGACGGGUAGCCGGCCUGAGAGGGUGACCGGCCACAUUGGGACUGAGAUACGGACCAGACUCCUACGGGAGGCAGCAGUGGGGAAUCUUGCACAAUGGGCGGAAGCCUGAUGCAGCGACGCCGCGUGCGGGAUGACGGCCUUCGGGUUGUAAACCGCUUUCGCCUGUGACGAAGCGUGAGUGACGGUAAUGGGUAAAGAAGCACCGGCUAACUACGUG
RNAcentral lists this ribosomal RNA (468 nucleotides) under uncultured bacterium. RNAcentral's name for it is "partial 16S ribosomal RNA". It matches the Rfam family "Bacterial small subunit ribosomal RNA", at positions 28 to 507 of the family's 1533-position model. The record is from RNAcentral.